Molecule: long non-coding RNA, 385 nt
Organism: Bos taurus (domestic cattle)
Lineage: Eukaryota; Metazoa; Chordata; Mammalia; Artiodactyla; Bovidae
Source: Ensembl
AGUAGCCAGAGGUGGGAUUGGAACCCAGGAGUUCUGGUCCAGAGUUCGCUAAUGAGCCAUUAAUGCUACAUUUUGCUGCUUGGACGCCGUCUUCAUCCCCGCCCUGUCGUGCAGUUUGGAUGUUAUUCCAGGAGUCUUCUUCUAGAUCCCCAGAGCCUGUCUCUGGAAACGAAGCUGAAAAUAGAAACAUCAAAACAACAAGCCAUUCCAGCUCUAAGUGCCAUAGUAAACAAAUGGUCCAAUGUUGCUCCGACGGUUUAAUUGCAGCAGCUCCAGACAAGCUCAUUCAUGAAGCAUCUUCAGUUGAUGAAGAGGAGGAGUGAGACUUUGGGGGAAGGGGUGGCUUGUGGCUAUCUCUGAGGAAGGAUCUGAACUGCCAUCCCAG